UUACCUAUCCUAAUAAAAUAAUUAAUAAUCUCCUAACUACUACUAAGUCACGGCAAUAUCUAUAUCUAAUUAUACUAUUCUAAUUAAUUAAUAAUUAAAUAUUAACUAAAUCAAUAAUUAAAUAAUAAAUUAAAUAAUAUAUCCCAACAUUCCACCCCGCUUGAAAUGAAUCUUGUCCUCAAGGUUCGUCUUGCGUUUCCAUCUAUGUUUGACUUCAUCGACUUUCGUUCCGAAUGAAUCCGAAAAACACAAUGAACGAUCAAACUCUUUAACACGUGGUUCUUGUUGACCCCAAGAAAUUCCAAAGGCUACUUUUGCGAAAAUACUCAAUUUUUUUCCCGA
This 342-nucleotide long non-coding RNA is filed under the name Erythranthe guttata (spotted monkey flower). RNAcentral's name for it is "long non-coding RNA (EGUT_LNC002582)". The record is from RNAcentral. Lineage: Eukaryota; Viridiplantae; Streptophyta; Magnoliopsida; Lamiales; Phrymaceae.